UUACAGCCAUAUCAUGUUGAAACACCGAUUCCUGUACUAUUCACCAAAGUUAAGUAACGUUGAGCCUGGUUAGUACCUAGAUGGGUGACUGCUUGGGAAUACCAGGUGAUGUAAG
This is a non-coding RNA of Acanthosepion pharaonis, 115 nucleotides long. The record is from the annotation of a GenBank genome assembly. NCBI's taxonomy places the organism in Eukaryota, Metazoa, Mollusca, Cephalopoda, Sepiida, Sepiidae.